GGCCAGUCUUGUACUGCGCAUCUUGCCGGUACAAGGUUUGGUCAUCCGUAGGGGAAACCAGUUCGUACUUCACUGUACGGCUGGCGGAACCUACAAUUUACUGUGAAAAAAUUAGAGUGUUCCAGGCAGGCAAUCGCUUGAAUACUCCAGCAUGGAAUAAUGGAAUAAGACUUUAGUCGAUUUGUUGGUUUGAGGCUAAAGUA
This 203-nucleotide ribosomal RNA is filed under the name uncultured fungus. Its description in RNAcentral is "partial small subunit ribosomal RNA". Lineage: Eukaryota; Fungi. The record is from RNAcentral.